This 610-nucleotide unclassified non-coding RNA is filed under the name Alvinocaris marimonte. Lineage: Eukaryota; Metazoa; Arthropoda; Malacostraca; Decapoda; Alvinocarididae. The record is from RNAcentral.
UAAAGUACGCUGCCCCGCAGCGAGGUUUGAGAACCCACAACACCAAGACGAGCACGGGGAGAUUGAGACGAGGAGGAGGAGCUGGGAAAGCCCUCCGGGUUAGCGCUGGGAUUGCCCAUCCUCCCUCUCUCUCUCUCUCCCCCCUUGCACGCAUGCAUGCGCGCAUCUCUCUACGUCUCGGGCGGUUCGUCGCGAAGACUCUGAGCCAAUGGCGGCGCGCCCUCGGGAGCCUGCCACGCUCGACCCGCAUCCUGCGCGAUGCGGGGGUCGGAGCCAGACGCAGCCGUCCUUCUUUUCUUUGUGCGGCCCGCCCUCGGAGAACCGGGGGAAGAGCGGGGAAAGCCCUUUCGCCCCCCGGCCUUCUCGGCCGCGGCGUCUGGGAUUGCCCCUCUCCGUCGGGUGCGGCCGCGUUUCUUUUCGUUGGGGUACGCAGAACGAAAAGCAAAGCCAUGACAGAGUGGGAAAGCCCUCCGCCACGCCUGAGUGCCGCUGGGAUUGCCCCUCUUCGAAAGCCGAACCCGCGGCGCGCCUAUCCGCCCGGGUUUAUCCCAUUCUUAAUCUCAAGUCUGAAACCACUGAACGUGCGCUGGACGCACGGAAAAGCUUCAUA